This 439-nucleotide ribosomal RNA is filed under the name uncultured bacterium. Its description in RNAcentral is "partial 16S ribosomal RNA". It matches the Rfam family "Bacterial small subunit ribosomal RNA", at positions 339 to 795 of the family's 1533-position model. The record is from RNAcentral.
CUACGGGUCGCAGCAGUGGGGAAUCUUGGACAAUGGGCGCAAGCCUGAUCCAGCCAUGCCGCGUGAGUGAUGAAGGCCUUAGGGUCGUAAAGCUCUUUCGCCAGAGAUGAUAAUGACAGUAUCUGGUAAAGAAACCCCGGCUAACUCCGUGCCAGCAGCCGCGGUAAUACGGAGGGGGUUAGCGUUGUUCGGAAUUACUGGGCGUAAAGCGCGCGUAGGCGGACUAGUCAGUCAGGGGUGAAAUCCCGGGGCUCAACCCCGGAACUGCCUUUGAUACUGCUAGUCUAGAGUUCGAGAGAGGUGAGUGGAAUUCCGGGUGUAGAGGUGAAAUUCGUAGAUAUUCGGAGGAACACCAGUGGCGAAGGCGGCUCACUGGCUCGAUACUGACGCUGAGGUGCGAAAGUGUGGGGAGCAAACAGGAUUAGAUACCCCGGUAGUC